Long non-coding RNA from Danaus plexippus (monarch butterfly), 941 nucleotides. RefSeq lists it as uncharacterized. The transcript has 3 exons. The record is from RefSeq and is a predicted model, not a curated record. Lineage: Eukaryota; Metazoa; Arthropoda; Insecta; Lepidoptera; Nymphalidae.
GGCUUAAGGUAAUACAGUCUUUCAAAUUAGUCUUUUUUUUAUUAAGGAUUUAAGUUCGACAUUGUAUUAUUUUACAAUCCUAUCCAAGUUUCGACUAUUUUGCAGUUAAAGCGAUCAUGGACAGAAGAUAUGAGAUUACUUUUUUGUCAUCAACGACUAACGUUCCUUAAUUUUAUCGCGUAAAGAUCUGAAUGCACUUUCUGAUUCAGUGUGGAAAUAGACUUUUAUGUUUUAUGAUGACUAUAAUAUUUUAUGAUGACAGGAUCCCAGGUGUUGAUUAAUUACUGAUCAUCUUUUCCAUUAAAAUUAGAUUUUUUAAAUUUCUACAGCCUCCCUUGAUUUUUUACCUUGAUACGUUCACAAUAUUUACUUCGACGCCGGACUAUUUUUAAAAUUCGAGAUUUGUUCCUUGACAAUCCACCGAGAACUGUUUAACCUACCUACAGUUUAGCUGCAUCUUGCUUAUGGUUCUUUUCAACAUUUGGAUUCCGCGAAUAUAAAAAAGAAAUUAAAAGAAUAGAACAAUAUACAGAGGAGUCAUUGCAGAGGUUGAUAUGUUCAGGCUGCUGGUUACCCUAAUGGCUGGAAUUUUUUCAUCGUUUUUGUAGGUUUCGUUUUUACAUUGGAAAAUAUCACUGACUGGGACAUAAUGAACAUGUUUAAUGCUUAAGAUAGUCAAAACUUUGUUACUGGAACCAUUUUUUAUUAAUUUAUAGUUGUAAAGUUGUAAUUAACAGUUGUAACUUAAAUGUAUUCCAUUUAUAUUUCUUUUGCAGUUUCAUGAAUGAAAUAAAAUUAAAGGCCAGUAAUAAAUAAUAAAAUUGAUUUUCUUAAUUUAUCUUUAUGGUUCUUUAUGUGCAUUUAUUCUGAACUUUUGCUUUUAUUUCAAUAAAAAGAAAAAAAAGUGAGUACUUUACGUACAUAAUAUAAAUAAAUCUAUG